GCUGGGGGCAGGUGUGUCGGUUGGAGCCAAGCUGGGCCGGCGGGGCAGGUCCAGGUUUGGGACAGGAAACACUGGCUCUGUGGUAAAGAAGGCCUUGAACUCUUGCUGAGGACUGUGGAACCGCUGUGAUUGGCUGACAUUUACCUCCUGAGAGGAUCUUCUCCUGUGACAUGUUCUCCAAUCACACCAAAGUCCACCGCAGUUUGC
Long non-coding RNA from Balaenoptera acutorostrata (minke whale), 207 nucleotides. RefSeq lists it as uncharacterized. The transcript has 3 exons. Lineage: Eukaryota; Metazoa; Chordata; Mammalia; Artiodactyla; Balaenopteridae. The record is from RefSeq and is a predicted model, not a curated record.